Molecule: RNA transcript, 905 nt
Organism: Capra hircus (goat)
Lineage: Eukaryota; Metazoa; Chordata; Mammalia; Artiodactyla; Bovidae
Gene name: vesicle transport protein GOT1B pseudogene
Exons: 1
Source: RefSeq, a predicted model, not a curated record
AUGAUCUCGUUAACGGACACAUAAAAAAUUGGAAUGGGAUUAACAGGAUUUGGAGUGUUCUUCCUGUUCUUUGGAAUGAUCCUCGUUUUUGACAAAGCACUACUGGCUAUUGGAAAUGUUUUAUUUGUGGCUGGCUUGGCUUUUGUAAUUGGUUUAGAAAGAACAUUCAGAUUCUUCUUCCAAAAACAUAAAAUAAAAGCUACAGGAUUUUUCCUGGGUGGUGUGUUUGUGGUCCUGAUUGGUUGGCCUUUGAUAGGCAUGAUCUUUGAAAUUUAUGGAUUCUUUCUCUUGUUCAGGGGCUUCUUUCCUGUGGUUGUUGGCUUUAUUAGAACAGUGCCAGUCCUUGGAUCCCUCUUGAACUUACCUGGAAUUAGAUCGUUUGUAGAUAAAGUCGGAGAAAGCAACAAUAUGGUAUAACAACCAUUGAAUUGAAGACUCAUUUAAAAUAUUGUAUUAUUUAUAAAAUCCUUUGAAGAAUAUUCAGCACAAAAUUAAAUUACCUGAAAUAGCUUGUAAUGUUCUUUACAGAAGUUUAAAAGGUAUAGCCUACAAAGUACCAACAACAGUUAACAAAGAAGCGAUGAAAACAGGCUUCUAACCAAGUCAUCUAAGAGGUCAGCAAGCAAACCGAAGGAGGUGAAAUCUAUGUUACAUGCAUAUUGAAACUUUUAAAGGCCAUUUUUAUUAUUUUUCUACAAUGUGUGAAACACAGCCAUCCAUAGAGAACUGUAAUCCCUAUUUCUUUCCUUCUUAUCUUCAAGAUGCAAGCAUAUCCAUAGGCAUUUGCUUUUUAGAAGUGUCCACUGCAAUGGCAAAAAUAUUUCCAGUUGCACUGUGUCUCUGAAAAUGAUGCAUGAGUUAGAUUGGAUUAUGUCAUUUUAAUCUAUUAAAACCAGGAAAACCCA